AGACUCUUAUUGGAUUUCAGUUCAGAAAAUUUUUUCGCGCUGUGCGGUUGUGUGGAGCGGAAAGUUGAAAUUCGCUUUCAAGUUGCCCAAAAGGUUUUUGUCAUUUGUUUUCGCAUUGUUCGCGCAUUGUUGAUUUCAAUUGUGAGAGAAGCGGCAGCAGCAGCAGCAGCAUCCCAAAAGAAACUGCAGUCGCUGAUGUUUGUGUUCUAUUCGUAAUCGGAGUCGGUGCAAUAAAACGCGGCAAUAUUUUCAGUUAAAAAUAAAUAAAAAUUUAAAUAAAAAUAAAUCCAUAAGAAAAAAUUGAAAGUGAAAUUCGUUAAUAACGGUAAAUCAAAUACAACGCGACGACGAGAAAAAAUUUGUUGAAUGAAACGCUCAGAGGAAAAGAAGCAAAUAUAAAUUAAUUGCUUAAAAAAAUAAAAUAAAUAAUAAUAAUUUUAAAAAUCUAACGGCAUACAAAAUUAAUAUUCAUAUUCAUUCAAUGCAAAGUGUUUAACAGUUUAACAAAACAAAUUAAAAGUGUUUCAACAAUUUACUAAAGCGAUUCCAAUUAGAAUUUGGGCUUCGACAACAGCACCAGCAACACCAACAAUAAUAAACAUAAGUUUCGAAAAUCGUAUAUACAGAAGUUACAUAUAUAUUGAGAAACUUGUGCCAAAAAGCAACUCAUAAGCAAUAUUAGACGUCGCGGCAAUUGCGCAACAAAUAAUAUUUCUGUCUAAAGGUAAAUAUGUCAACCAAAUACUUUAGAUUCUUAUACUCCAAAGGGCAUUUGAUAUAGCUCUGCAGUGAAAACCUUUUCUUUUUUCAUAUAAGAGGGGCAACAGGUUUUUAAAUUUCCGCAAUUUUCCAUUUCUAUUUUUUUCUUUUAUUUCCGUUACUGUUAUAACAUAACUGUUAUUACACACUCCACACAGAGAGGUCACACCCGCUGCUGACCUUUGCAGCAACUCGAAUGUAACCAACAAAAAUUACUCGACCAUAACAAAGAAUUCUAGGCACUUUAACGCAUUCGCCUUUGUCAGUUUUUAAUAAAAAAAAAAAAAAAGUAAAAAGCAGAAGACAAAAACCCACAAAAAAAAAAAAAAAAAACUAUAUAGAUAUAUUUAUAUAUGUGUGUAUAUAUGUUUGUCUUCCAACUCUUUUCUCAACUUUAAUUAAGAACUUCCUCUCGGUGUGCGUCUCGUAGCUUUUAUGGCCACAGCAAAGGUUAGUAAUAAUAAUAAUUAUGAUUUAUUUGCGACUCGUAUGCAAGGCACAUUUCUGACCCAAAUCCGCUAAGAAACGCUGACAACAUUGACCCAUUUAAGCACAGGCAUAAAACUGACCAAAAUAUAAAAAGUUUUAUGUACGCACGAAACGUGUGCUCAAGCAUAAACAAAGCGAAAAUCAUGCGAAUUUCUUUCCGAUAUACGAUUUGCAUAUAUUCCCCAAAAUUAACGGAAAAUUUCUGAUGGCAUUCAUCAAAUAGGGAAGAUCGAUUUAUAUCCAUAUGGAAAACGAUUGAAGCGCAUGUGGCACAAAUAUUUGUUUAAAUUUAGUUGUUCCACACGCUCAAAUCAAUUAAGUGAAAAACGCGCGAGCGAAACUAUUAAUAAAAGUGGAAAUGUUCAUAAAAAAUGGUCAACUCAUGUGAUACCCUAUAUUAAAUAAUAUAGGCAAGAGGAAAUUAAAAGAAAAGACAUAAAUACAUGUAAAUAAAAGGAAAAUUAUAAA
Drosophila mojavensis is the source of this 1716-nucleotide long non-coding RNA. RefSeq lists it as uncharacterized. The transcript has 5 exons. The record is from RefSeq and is a predicted model, not a curated record. NCBI's taxonomy places the organism in Eukaryota, Metazoa, Arthropoda, Insecta, Diptera, Drosophilidae.